Molecule: ribosomal RNA, 554 nt
Filed under: Priestia megaterium
Lineage: Bacteria; Bacillati; Bacillota; Bacilli; Caryophanales; Bacillaceae
Description: bacterial SSU rRNA
Rfam family: Bacterial small subunit ribosomal RNA
Source: RNAcentral
UGCCUAAUACAUGCAAGUCGAGCGAACUGAUUAGAAGCUUGCUUCUAUGACGUUAGCGGCGGACGGGUGAGUAACACGUGGGCAACCUGCCUGUAAGACUGGGAUAACUUCGGGAAACCGAAGCUAAUACCGGAUAGGAUCUUCUCCUUCAUGGGAGAUGAUUGAAAGAUGGUUUCGGCUAUCACUUACAGAUGGGCCCGCGGUGCAUUAGCUAGUUGGUGAGGUAACGGCUCACCAAGGCAACGAUGCAUAGCCGACCUGAGAGGGUGAUCGGCCACACUGGGACUGAGACACGGCCCAGACUCCUACGGGAGGCAGCAGUAGGGAAUCUUCCGCAAUGGACGAAAGUCUGACGGAGCAACGCCGCGUGAGUGAUGAAGGCUUUCGGGUCGUAAAACUCUGUUGUUAGGGAAGAACAAGUACAAGAGUAACUGCUUGUACCUUGACGGUACCUAACCAGAAAGCCACGGCUAACUACGUGCCAGCAGCCGCGGUAAUACGUAGGUGGCAAGCGUUAUCCGGAAUUAUUGGGCGUAAAGCGCGCGCAGGCGGUU